UAAUACAGAGGUCUCAAGCGUUGUUCGGAUUCAUUGGGCGUAAAGGGUGCGUAGGUGGCGCGCUAAGUCAGGUGUGAAAUUUCGGAGCUUAACUCCGAAACUGCAUUUGAUACUGGCGUGCUUGAGGACUGGAGAGGAGACUGGAAUUCAUGGUGUAGCAGUGAAAUGCGUAGAGAUCAUGAGGAAGACCAGUGGCGAAGGCGGGUCUCUGGACAGUCCCUGACACUGAGGCACGAAGGCCAGGGGAGCAAACGG
Molecule: ribosomal RNA, 255 nt
Filed under: uncultured prokaryote
Description: partial 16S ribosomal RNA
Rfam family: Bacterial small subunit ribosomal RNA
Source: RNAcentral